GUGUUUUGUUUUCUAUGAUGUGUUUUGUAUUAACUGUUGUUUGUCUUUUUAUGAUGUGUUUUGUAUUAACUGUUGUUUGUCUUUUUAUGAUGUGUUUUGUAUUAACUGUUGUUUGUCUUUCUAUGAUGUGUUUUGUAUUAACUGUUGUUUGUCUUUCUAUGAUGUGUUUUGUAUUAACUGUUGUUAGUCUUUUGCAUGUUUUUUUUUAAUUUUUCUCAAUGCACAUUGUAAGAUUUGUUUUUCAACUUGUGAGUUUGAAUAUCCCUGUAUCCCUUUGGUAUCUCGGCAACUCUCUUUUGCUCAGUCUUUUGUUUUCCAUACUGAUGUUUGUCUUUUGGUUGAUU
This 344-nucleotide long non-coding RNA is filed under the name Mytilus galloprovincialis (Mediterranean mussel). The record is from RNAcentral. Lineage: Eukaryota; Metazoa; Mollusca; Bivalvia; Mytilida; Mytilidae.